UUGAAAAGUAACACAUACAGGGUUCUUACACCUCUUCCAAAGUCAAAUUCAAGCACUUUUCAAGCCUUUUCAAGGUGCAUUUUCCAGCUUUUCAAGCAUCUUACAGCUGUUGUAAA
This is a long non-coding RNA of Notothenia coriiceps (black rockcod), 116 nucleotides long. RefSeq lists it as uncharacterized. The transcript has 3 exons. The record is from RefSeq and is a predicted model, not a curated record. NCBI's taxonomy places the organism in Eukaryota, Metazoa, Chordata, Actinopteri, Perciformes, Nototheniidae.